Molecule: regulatory RNA element, 89 nt
Organism: Weissella viridescens
Lineage: Bacteria; Bacillati; Bacillota; Bacilli; Lactobacillales; Lactobacillaceae
Rfam family: TPP riboswitch aptamer (THI element)
About the family: Vitamin B(1) in its active form thiamin pyrophosphate (TPP) is an essential coenzyme that is synthesised by coupling of pyrimidine and thiazole moieties in bacteria. The previously detected thiamin-regulatory element, thi box was extended, resulting in a new, highly conserved RNA secondary structure, the THI element, which is widely distributed in eubacteria and also occurs in some archaea.
Source: Rfam
UCAACCAUGCUGGGGUGCCAAACGGCUGAGAUAAUACCCACAAACCUGAUCCAGAUAAUACUGGCGGAGGAAGCUUGGUUUUGUUUACG